This 106-nucleotide microRNA precursor is filed under the name Canis lupus familiaris (dog). RNAcentral describes it as "mir-8834 microRNA precursor family". It matches the Rfam family "mir-8834 microRNA precursor family". RNAcentral also lists the same sequence under 1 other name. Lineage: Eukaryota; Metazoa; Chordata; Mammalia; Carnivora; Canidae. The record is from Rfam by way of RNAcentral.
AGGUGGAACAACCCCAGUGGCGGCAGCCAGCUCUGAAGCCCUGGAUUCAGCUCCCGCAGUAACUCGGAGCUCUCAGCCUGCAGGGGCCUGGAGGCUCCGGGGCCGG